ACGGGUGCGGAACACGUACAGAACCUUCCUUCGAGCGGGGAAUAGCCCAGAGAAAUUUGGAUUAAUACCCCAUAGCAUAACGGAGUGGCAUCACUUUGUUAUUAAAGAUUUAUCACUUGAAGAUGGCUGUGCGGCUGAUUAGAUAGUUGGCGGGGUAACGGCCCACCAAGUCUGCGAUCAGUAACUGGUGUGAGAGCACGACCAGUCACACGGGCACUGAGACACGGGCCCGACUCCUACGGGAGGUAGCAGUAAGGAAUAUUGGUCAAUGGACGAAAGUCUGAACCAGCCAUGCCGCGUGGAGGAUGAAGGCCCUCUGGGUUGUAAACUUCUUUUAUAUGGGACGAAAAAGGACCUUUCUAGGUCAACUGACGGUACCAUGUGAAUAAGCACCGGCUAACUCCGUGCCAGCAGCCGCGGUAAUACGGAGGGUGCAAGCGUUAUCCGGAUUCACUGGGUUUAAAGGGAGCGUAGGUGGGUUGGUAAGUCAGUGGUGAAAUCCCCGAGCUUAACUUGGGAACUGCCAUUGAUACUAUCAGUCUUGAAUACCGUGGAGGUCAGCGGAAUAUGUCAUGUAG
Molecule: ribosomal RNA, 578 nt
Filed under: uncultured Terrimonas sp.
Lineage: Bacteria; Pseudomonadati; Bacteroidota; Chitinophagia; Chitinophagales; Chitinophagaceae
Description: bacterial SSU rRNA
Rfam family: Bacterial small subunit ribosomal RNA
Source: RNAcentral